UUCUAUCGAAGUUGGUCUUUAUUCUAUGAAACGACUGUCUGCCUGCUCCACGGCUAGCCUGCUGAGACUGCUUCGACAUGUAUUCCGUAUCUGACAAGUGUUAUUGCGCGCAUUUGUAUCCCGCAGAAGUGGUCCAAGUUUUUGAAGUGCGCGUUGAAAUACUGUGAUUGUCCCGAGUCGGGUCUGAGCUGCGCCACAGCAUGUCUGAUGCGCGGGAGCACGCCGCCGACGCCGCGUCUGAGACGCCGACACGAAACAGAUUCAAGAUGCAGGCGAGGCGGUCCCGAUCCAGUCUUGGUGCUGCCAAUCGCCCAUUCAGCUCACCGAUGAAGGCUACACCCGUAAGCAGUGAAAGUGUCGAGGACUUGCGCAAGAAACUGGCAGGCCUCCGCAGCAAGAGUCUCCUCUUGGAUGAGCAGAUUGAACAGCUGAAGGCAGAAGGCUGCACCAUAGAGGAGCUUCCUUGGCACAUGGAGCAGCUGCAUACAUACAACCAGAUUAAGGACAUUGCUCAUCAGGUCAUUGGCAGCCUGGCGGUCAUAGAAGGAGUGACCAUAAAGGACAAGCAGGAACACUACGGUCUGCCCACAACCGAACCCAGUAGUGUGCCACAGCACACUUGACUUUGCUGUUUGUUUGUUUUUUCUUGUAACCCAUGCAGCAGAGAUCUGGGAUGGGAUCCUCAGUGCAUUGAUGGUUUUUCUUUCCAUAUAUUUGUCCUCUUCUCAUUUCACUCGCACCUUUAUGUUGUUUUUAAAUAUUUUGUUGGAAAAGCCUUGAAGUUGUAUAUGACGAUAGCAUUCUAGAUUUUUCAAGCGCCUCUCCAGGUUGGUGGGUGCUGAAAACUUUUGAUGCGAGCGUUUGUUUGUCCCAUCACUUUGUCUUAAAAUUAUUUCUGUGCUCACAGUACAGCCUGUAGUGACUGGUCGGUGGCAUUCUGCAAACAGCUUCAGCCUUAAUUCCUUCACCACCUGUCUAUGCA
This is an RNA transcript of Dermacentor silvarum, 982 nucleotides long. It is a transcript of the gene named DNA repair protein SWI5 homolog, with no coding region annotated. The record is from RefSeq and is a predicted model, not a curated record. The transcript has 6 exons. NCBI's taxonomy places the organism in Eukaryota, Metazoa, Arthropoda, Arachnida, Ixodida, Ixodidae.